RNAcentral lists this non-coding RNA (120 nucleotides) under Rhodococcus sp. WAY2. The record is from RNAcentral. Lineage: Bacteria; Bacillati; Actinomycetota; Actinomycetes; Mycobacteriales; Nocardiaceae.
GACCCGCGCUUGUCACCCGACUGCGUGUUAAUCAGGGAACCAGGUCAUCACCCGGGGCACCCCACCGCGGUGGAGGGUUGCCGGCCAGCUAGCCGGGGCUCGUUGCUGGCACUCAUGACC